CCAAAAAAAAAAAAAAAUCUAAUACACCCAUGGCCACCCUCCUUGGUGUAACAGAUUAUAAUACCCAAUUUUUAGGAACCAAAAACCAAUGUCCUUCAAUGUAUCAACAAACAGUCAAAUAUUCUUAUGAACAAAAUCAUCAAAUUUAGCUUUUCUUUUCUUGAUAAAUCACCCUAUAUUUCACAUCUUAUCCAUACACCACCUAGUUUAGCUGAAAAACAUCACUUUAUUAGUAUAAAUUUAAUUUGAACAAGGCAAUUUCAGUCUAUUAACAUUACCCCUCUCUAUACAAAUUCAAGUAUGUUCCCAUAGCAAUCCCAGGCGCUUUAAGCAGUGUACCAUACAUAUUUUUCCGAAUUAUAAACUGGAAUUCUCAGAAACCCAUCUUUAUUGACAUAUCUUAAUCCUCAUUAAUGGCAAACUAUAAAUCCAUGCAGACAGAGUAACUACUCAAAGGCACAGUCUUGUAUCAAGCAUCACAAGUCUUUUUUCCCAGUUUAGUUUUUCCUUUGUAGUUUUUCCCCUUUCAGUCUGCAGUUCAUUAUGGCAGCCAUAGUAAAUACAAUGCCCCUGGAAAAGUCAAAUGAAAUGUUU
Molecule: unclassified non-coding RNA, 594 nt
Filed under: Hevea brasiliensis (rubber tree)
Lineage: Eukaryota; Viridiplantae; Streptophyta; Magnoliopsida; Malpighiales; Euphorbiaceae
Source: RNAcentral